RNAcentral lists this ribosomal RNA (500 nucleotides) under uncultured bacterium. Its description in RNAcentral is "partial 16S ribosomal RNA". It matches the Rfam family "Bacterial small subunit ribosomal RNA", at positions 30 to 523 of the family's 1533-position model. The record is from RNAcentral.
AUUGAACGCUGGCGGAAUGCUUUACACAUGCAAGUCGAACGGCAGCACGGACUUCGGUCUGGUGGCGAGUGGCGAACGGGUGAGUAAUACAUCGGAACGUGCCCAAUCGUGGGGGAUAACGUAGCGAAAGCUACGCUAAUACCGCAUACGAUCUAAGGAUGAAAGCGGGGGAUCGCAAGACCUCGCGCGAUUGGAGCGGCCGAUGGCAGAUUAGGUAGUUGGUAGGGUAAAGGCCUACCAAGCCGACGAUCUGUAGCUGGUCUGAGAGGAUGAUCCGCCACACUGGGACGUAGACACGGCCCAGACUCCGACGGGAGGCAGCAGUGGGGAAUUUUGGACAAUGGACGCAAGUCUGAUCCAGCCAUUCCGCGUGCAGGAUGAAGGCCCUCGGGUUGUAAACUGCUUUUGUACAGAACGAAAAGGCUCUGGUUAAUACCUAGGGCUCAUGACGGUACUGUAAGAAUAAGCACCGGCUAACUACGUGCCAGCAGCCGCCGUAA